GCAAUUUAUACAGUGAAACUGCGAAUGGCUCAUUAAAUCAGUUAUCGUUUAUUUGAUAGUUCCUUUACUACAUGGUAUAACUGUGGUAAUUCUAGAGCUAAUACAUGCUUAAAAUCUCGACCCUUUGGAAGAGAUGUAUUUAUUAGAUAAAAAAUCAAUGUCUUCGGACUCUUUGAUGAUUCAUAAUAACUUUUCGAAUCGCAUGGCCUUGUGCUGGCGAUGGUUCAUUCAAAUUUCUGCCCUAUCAACUUUCGAUGGUAGGAUAGUGGCCUACCAUGGUUUCAACGGGUAACGGGGAAUAAGGGUUCGAUUCCGGAGAGGGAGCCUGAGAAACGGCUACCACAUCCAAGGAAGGCAGCAGGCGCGCAAAUUACCCAAUCCUAAUUCAGGGAGGUAGUGACAAUAAAUAACGAUACAGGGCCCAUUCGGGUCUUGUAAUUGGAAUGAGUACAAUGUAAAUACCUUAACGAGGAACAAUUGGAGGGCAAGUCUGGUGCCAGCAGCCGCGGUAAUUCCAGCUCCAAUAGCGUAUAUUAAAGUUGUUGCAGUUAAAAAGCUCGUAGUUGAACUUUGGGCCCGGUUGGCCGGUCCGAUUUUUUCGUGUACUGGAUUUCCAACGGGGCCUUUCCUUCUGGCUAACCUUGAGUCCUUGUGGCUCUUGGCGAACCAGGACUUUUACUUUGAAAAAAUUAGAGUGUUCAAAGCAGGCGUAUUGCUCGAAUAUAUUAGCAUGGAAUAAUAGAAUAGGACGUUUGGUUCUAUUUUGUUGGUUUCUAGGACCAUCGUAAUGAUUAAUAGGGACGGUCGGGGGCAUCAGUAUUCAAUUGUCAGAGGUGAAAUUCUUGGAUUUAUUGAAGACUAACUACUGCGAAAGCAUUUGCCAAGGACGUUUUCAUUAAUCAAGAACGAAAGUUAGGGGAUCGAAGAUGAUCAGAUACCGUCGUAGUCUUAACCAUAAACUAUGCCGACUAGGGAUCGGGUGGUGUUUUUUUAAUGACCCACUCGGCACCUUACGAGAAAUCAAAGUCUUUGG
Molecule: ribosomal RNA, 1033 nt
Filed under: Saccharomyces cerevisiae (brewer's yeast)
Lineage: Eukaryota; Fungi; Ascomycota; Saccharomycetes; Saccharomycetales; Saccharomycetaceae
Description: SSU rRNA
Rfam family: Eukaryotic small subunit ribosomal RNA
Source: RNAcentral